This 425-nucleotide ribosomal RNA is filed under the name uncultured bacterium. RNAcentral's name for it is "partial 16S ribosomal RNA". It matches the Rfam family "Bacterial small subunit ribosomal RNA", at positions 354 to 796 of the family's 1533-position model. The record is from RNAcentral.
GUUAGGAAUAUUGGACAAUGGGCGCAAGCCUGAUCCAGCCAUGCCGCGUGAGUGAUGAAGGCCUUCGGGUUGUAAAGCUCUUUAGCCGAUGAUUAUAAUGACUGUAGUCGGAAAAUAAGCCCCGGCUAACUUCGUGCCAGCAGCCGCGGUAAUACGAAGGGGGCGAGCGUUAUUCGGAAUCACUGGGCGUAAAGCGUGCGUAGGCGGCUUUGCAAGUUGGGAGUGAAAGCCCAGGGCUCAACCCUGGAAUUGCUCUCAAAACUGCAAGGCUCGAAUUCGGGAGAGGAUAGCGGAAUUGUCAGUGUGGCAGUGAAAUGCGUAGAUAUUGACAGGAACACCAGUGGCGUAAGCGGCUAUCUGGACCGAUAUUGACGCUGAGGCACGAAAGCGUGGGGAUCAAACAGGAUUAGAUACCCCUGUAGUCC